AUGGCAGACUGGCGUAGUUUGGUGAAAUGGGAAACUUACACAAAGUCCGGAACCCUUGACGUCCUGCAGAUGAAGGAGGAUGAUGUCCUCAAAUUCCUUGCUGUGGGAACCCACUUAGUUGGCACCAACCUUGACUUUCAGAUGGAGCAGUACAUCUACAAAAGAAAAAGUGACAGUAUCUACAUCAUAAAUCUGAAGAGGACCUGGGAGAAGCUGUUGCUCACAGCUUGAGCUAUUGUUGCCAUUGAGAACCCUGCUGACGUCAGUGUCAUCUCCUCCAGGAACACUGGCCAGCAAGCUGUUCUGAAGUUUGCUGCUGCCACAGGAGCCACUCCAAUUGCUGGCCGCUUCACACCUGGGACCUUCACUAACCAGAUCCAAGCAGCCUUCAGGGAGCCGCGGCUUCUAGUGGUGACCGAUCCCAGGGCUGACCACCAGCCACUCACAGAGGCCUCUUAUGUCAACCUGCCCACCAUUGCUCUGUGUAACACAGAUUCUCCCCUGCGCUAUGUGGACAUUGCCAUCCCAUGCAACAACAAGGGAGCUCACUCAGUGGGUCUGAUGUGGUGGAUGCUGGCCAGGGAAGUACUCCGCAUGCGAGGUACUAUCUCCCGUGAGCACCCAUGGGAGGUCAUGCCUGAUCUU
This is an RNA transcript of Mus pahari (shrew mouse), 645 nucleotides long. It is a transcript of the gene named 40S ribosomal protein SA-like, with no coding region annotated. NCBI's taxonomy places the organism in Eukaryota, Metazoa, Chordata, Mammalia, Rodentia, Muridae. The transcript is spliced from 2 exons. The record is from RefSeq and is a predicted model, not a curated record.